AGUGAACGCUGGCGGUAGGCCUAACACAUGCGAGUCGAACGGCAGCACAGUAAGAGCUUGCUCUUACGGGUGGCGAGUGGCGGACGGGUGAGGAAUACAUCGGAAUCUACUUUUUCGUGGGGGAUAACGUAGGGAAACUUACGCUAAUACCGCAUACGACCUACGGGUGAAAGCAGGGGAUCUUCGGACCUUGCGCGAUUGAAUGAGCCGAUGUCGGAUUAGCUAGUUGGCGGGGUAAAGGCCCACCAAGGCGACGAUCCGUAGCUGGUCUGAGAGGAUGAUCAGCCACACUGGAACUGAGACACGGUCCAGACUCCUACGGGAGGCAGCAGUGGGGAAUAUUGGACAAUGGGCGCAAGCCUGAUCCAGCCAUACCGCGUGGGUGAAGAAGGCCUUCGGGUUGUAAAGCCCUUUUGUUGGGAAGGAAAAGCAGCGGGUUAAUACCCCGCUGUUCUGACGGUACCCAAAGAAUAAGCACCGGCUAACUUCGUG
This 492-nucleotide ribosomal RNA is filed under the name uncultured bacterium. RNAcentral describes it as "partial 16S ribosomal RNA". It matches the Rfam family "Bacterial small subunit ribosomal RNA", at positions 29 to 507 of the family's 1533-position model. The record is from RNAcentral.